CGCCUGUUUAUCAAAAACAUCGCUGAAUUUAAAUUCAGUANGACCUGCCCGGUGAAAUUUUNACGGCCGCAGUAUCUUAACUGUGCUAAGGUAGCAUAAUCAUUAGUUUUUUAAUUGAAAACUCGUAUAAAUGAUUUGACGAGAAACUCUCUCUCCCAAUUGUACCUUAAAUUUUCUAUGAAGGUCAAAAAGCCUUCUUUUUCCAAAGGGACGACAAGACCCUAUAAAACUUCACUUAACUUAAAAAUACUUCCUCAGAAAAAAUUUAAUUUUAAAAUAAGUUUAGCUGGGGCGGCUCGAUUUAAUAAAAACAUUUUCCACUCUAACAUCUUGAAUGACAGAUAAUAAACAUGCUUUUAAUUCAGAACAAGUUACUUUAGGGAUAACAGCAUAAUAUCUCUUUAGAGCCCUUAUCGACAGAGAUCCAUAUGACCUCGAUGUUGAAUUGGAUAUUCUCCUUAGAGCAGCCCCUAAGGAAAGAAAGUCUGUUCGACUUGUAAUCCUCCACAUGAUCUGAG
RNAcentral lists this ribosomal RNA (518 nucleotides) under Cilicaea latreillei. RNAcentral describes it as "partial 16S ribosomal RNA". It matches the Rfam family "Bacterial large subunit ribosomal RNA", at positions 1797 to 2609 of the family's 2925-position model. The record is from RNAcentral. Lineage: Eukaryota; Metazoa; Arthropoda; Malacostraca; Isopoda; Sphaeromatidae.